AUUGAACGCUGGCGGCAGGCCUAACACAUGCAAGUCGAACGAACCGCGGACGGGUGAGUAAUGUAUGGGGCUCUGCCCGAUAGAGGGGGAUACCUACCGGAAACGGUGGCUAAUACCGCCUACAAUCGGAGGAACCCAUAUGGGCUUAGCUAGUAGGUGGGGCAAAGGCUCACCUAGGCGACGAUCUCUUGCUGGUUUGAGAGGACGACCAGCCACACUGGGACUGAGACACGGCCCAGACUCCUACGGGAGGCAGCAGUGGGGAAUAUUGCACAAUGGGGGAAAGCCUGAUGCAGCCAUCCCGCGUGUAUGAAGAAGGCCUUAGGGUUGUAAAGUACUUUCAGCGGGGAGGCGGUACCCGCAGAAUAAGCACCGGCUAACUCCGUGCCAGCAGCCGCGGUAAUUC
RNAcentral lists this ribosomal RNA (406 nucleotides) under uncultured bacterium. RNAcentral describes it as "partial 16S ribosomal RNA". It matches the Rfam family "Bacterial small subunit ribosomal RNA", at positions 30 to 526 of the family's 1533-position model. The record is from RNAcentral.